This is a long non-coding RNA of Trachemys scripta elegans, 907 nucleotides long. RefSeq lists it as uncharacterized. The transcript has 4 exons. Lineage: Eukaryota; Metazoa; Chordata; Testudines; Emydidae. The record is from RefSeq and is a predicted model, not a curated record.
CUUAGAUGGAAGACCCCAGUCCCUCAUGGAGAGGUGGUGUCCAGGAUCCUGGAGACUGUUUUCCGCUGCAGGAGGUUUGAGCGGGGAGAGAUCAUCACUGUCACGACCCAGGGGUCUCCAACCCGGGUCUGCAGGGUUCAUGGGAGCAGCCACACUCCAACCCUCCACCUGGAAGCCUGCUGAAAAUUGCUUACCUCGGACCCAUGAAGUUCAGCCCCAGUUUGAGGCUCCACUCAUGAGGUCCUAUUGGAGGAGUCCCAGGAAAGCUCACUGGCCCCCUGGCCCUGCGUAAGACAGCAGCAGGAACACGAAGCUGACUGAACACCAGGCCUGCUCCCGGUUCUGGACCGUGCACUGCCUGGUUCUGCUGCCGCUCCCCUGGCUUGAUUUCCUGGCAUCUGAGUUGUGGUGGUGAUAGCAAGUUUGUCUUUUGCUGCUGAUCUUCCAGUAUCCUGACCUGGCUGACUCUCCACUCCUGUCAUGGCUCCCCAUCCAUCCUGGAGCUGAACAUCAGAUGGGAGCUGAUGGAUUGUCCUUGGUGGGCCAUGUUCUUGUGUGUGAUGAGAGGGCCAGGAGCAGAUGCACCACGCCUGGCCAGGACUGGGCUAAACAGCCUGUAAUGCUAGACAGUCAGCCCGUGAGGCCAGUUUGCAGAAUGUGGAAGAGCCCUUUGGCGAGGCGUUGGAGGAUUCACCAUGAAGGUGGCAGCAGCGGCAGUGCCUGGGGUCCCCAUGGACCAAGCGUCAACUCCUGCCAAUCCAGGCUAAUCUUCCCCUGCUUUCAGCAGCGCUUGGCUUUAGCUGCUGGGCCUGUGAGCCUAGCCCAGGGGUCUCAAACUCAAAUGACCACAAGGGCUGCAUGAGGACCAGUUCAUUGUCCUGAUGGCCGCAUCACUGACACCCCCCCC